GGAAUAUAAGAAUCCGUCUCUUAACUUUUAACUAAAAAAGCUAAGAACCGGUUCUUAAAUAAGAUAUUUAAGAACCGGUUCAUAGCUUUUUUAGUUAAAAGUUAAGAGACGAAUUCUUAUGUUCC
Brassica oleracea var. oleracea is the source of this 125-nucleotide microRNA precursor. It matches the Rfam family "MIR9563 microRNA precursor family". Lineage: Eukaryota; Viridiplantae; Streptophyta; Magnoliopsida; Brassicales; Brassicaceae. The record is from Rfam.